GAAUGCUGACAUAAGUAACGAUAAAGCGGGUGAAAAGCCCGCUCGCCGGAAGACCAAGGGUUCCUGUCCAACGUUAAUCGGGGCAGGGUGAGUCGACCCCUAAGGCGAGGCCGAAAGGCGUAGUCGAUGGGAAACGGGUUAAUAUUCCCGUACUUGGUGUUACUGCGAAGGGGGGACGGAGAAGGCUAUGUUGGCCGGGCGACGGUUGUCCCGGUUUAAGCGUAUAGGUGUGUGUUCCAGGUAAAUCCGGUUCACUUUAACACUGAGGCGUGAUGACGAGGCGCUACGGUGCUGAAGCAACAAAUGCCCUGCUUCCAGGAAAAGCCUCUAAGCAUCAGGUAACAUCAAAUCGUACCCCAAACCGACACAGGUGGUCAGGUAGAGAAUACCAAGGCGCUUGAGAGAACUCGGGUGAAGGAACUAGGCAAAAUGGUGCCGUAACUUCGGGAGAAGGCACGCUGACAU
This 465-nucleotide ribosomal RNA is filed under the name Salmonella enterica subsp. enterica serovar Oranienburg. RNAcentral's name for it is "partial 23S ribosomal RNA". It matches the Rfam family "Bacterial large subunit ribosomal RNA", at positions 1292 to 1757 of the family's 2925-position model. Lineage: Bacteria; Pseudomonadati; Pseudomonadota; Gammaproteobacteria; Enterobacterales; Enterobacteriaceae. The record is from RNAcentral.